UAUCUCUGUAGAGUCUGCAUAUCAAUAAGCGGAGGAAAAGAAACUAACUAAGGAUUCCCUCAGUAACGGCGAGUGAAGCGGGAAGAGCUCAAAUUUGAAAUCUUCAAGGGUUCUACCUUUACGAAUUGUAGUUUAAAGAAGUGUUUUCUGUUGAAGUUUUGGUAAAAGUUCUUUGGAAUAGGACAUCAUAGAGGGUGAGAAUCCCGUAUUUGACCAUUAUUUUCAGCUGUGUGAUACACUUUCAAAGAGUCGGAUUGUUUGGGAAUGCAGUCCAAAAUGGGUGGUAAAUUUCAUCUAAAGCUAAAUAUUGGCGAGAGACCGAUAGCGAACAAGUACCGUGAGGGAAAGAUGAAAAGAACUUUGAAAAGAGAGUUAAACAGUACGUGAAAUUGUCAAAAGGGAAGCGUUUGACACCAGUGUUGUUUUCUCGAAAAUCAAUUAAAAAGAGUUGGAUUUUGUGUUGUAUUGACCUUAACAGCUUUCUUCACUCUUUUCCUGCUUUUUUUAAUGCACUUUUCGUUUAACAAGUCAACAUCAGUUUCUUUUGUUGUAAAAGGGUCAUUGGAAGGUGGCUUUCUUUUCGGAGAAAGUGUUUAUAGCCUUUGAUCUCUGCAAUCGGAGAGACUGAGGUCUGCAGCGUAGAUCCUUCGGGGUUAGAUACAUUUGUGCUAAGUUAUAACUUUUCAUAGACAACUUGUUGACUAUGUUUAGUCAUGUAGCUUACUCGCUUGUGCUAUUUUACCUACGCUUAGGAUGUUGAAGAUGUAGCACAUCAU
Molecule: ribosomal RNA, 776 nt
Filed under: uncultured Neocallimastigales
Lineage: Eukaryota; Fungi; Neocallimastigomycota; Neocallimastigomycetes; Neocallimastigales
Description: partial large subunit ribosomal RNA
Rfam family: Eukaryotic large subunit ribosomal RNA
Source: RNAcentral